RNAcentral lists this ribosomal RNA (382 nucleotides) under Hierophis viridiflavus (green whip snake). Its description in RNAcentral is "partial 12S ribosomal RNA". Lineage: Eukaryota; Metazoa; Chordata; Lepidosauria; Squamata; Colubridae. The record is from RNAcentral.
GCCUGANUGUAACACAACAAUUAAANUACCAAUUGUUCGCCAAAUAACUACGAGUAAAAACUUAAAAUUUAAAAGACUUGACGGUACCUCACAACAGCCUAGAGGAGCCUGUCCAUAACCGAUACCCCACGAUUCACCCUACCCCCCCUAGCCAACAGUCUAUAUACCGCCGUCGCCAGCCUACCUUAUGAAAGAAACAAAGUAAGCCAAAUAGCUCAUACACUAGUACGACAGGUCGAGGUGUAACUAAUGGGGGGGCCAAGAUGGGCUACAUUUUCUAACACAGAAAAAACGAAUAAACUUUGAAAGAAGAAACUGAAGGCGGAUUUAGCAGUAUACUAAGAACAAAAUACCUAGUCGAAAUCAAUGCAAUGAGGUGCGU